GGGGUCGUGGUGAAAUUGGUAUCACGCGGGUCUCCAAAACCUGCUUUCCAGGUUCAAGUCCUGGCGACCCUG
Molecule: transfer RNA, 72 nt
Filed under: Candidatus Falkowbacteria bacterium CG1_02_37_44
Lineage: Bacteria; Candidatus Falkowiibacteriota
Also listed under: 3 other names
Description: tRNA-Trp
Rfam family: tRNA
About the family: Transfer RNA (tRNA) molecules are approximately 80 nucleotides in length. Their secondary structure includes four short double-helical elements and three loops (D, anti-codon, and T loops).
Source: RNAcentral